This 468-nucleotide ribosomal RNA is filed under the name uncultured bacterium. Its description in RNAcentral is "partial 16S ribosomal RNA". It matches the Rfam family "Bacterial small subunit ribosomal RNA", at positions 28 to 507 of the family's 1533-position model. The record is from RNAcentral.
GACGAACGCUGGCGGCGUGCUUAACACAUGCAAGUCGAACGGAAAGGCCCUGCUUUUGUGGGGUGCUCGAGUGGCGAACGGGUGAGUAACACGUGAGUAACCUGCCCUUGACGUUGGGAUAACUUCAGGAAACUGGGGCUAAUACCGGAUAGGAGCUCCUGCUGCAUGGUGGGGGUUGGAAAGUUUCGGCGGUUGGGGAUGGACUCGCGGCUUAUCAGCUUGUUGGUGGGGUAGUGGCUUACCAAGGCUUUGACGGGUAGCCGGCCGGAGAGGGUGACCGGCCACAUUGGGACUGAGAUACGGCCCAGACUCCUACGGGAGGCAGCAGUGGGGAAUAUUGCACAAUGGGCGGAAGCCUGAUGCAGCAACGCCGCGUGCGGGAUGACGGCCUUCGGGUUGUAAACCGCUUUCGCCUGUGACGAAGCGUGAGUGACGGUAAUGGGUAAAGAAGCACCGGCUAACUACGUG